ACGACAUAAUUACUAUGGAAUAUCUCUUAUUUUACCACAGGGUUAUUACCGUUUUCUAGAUCACUUCGCAUUCAGUACACUACUGCAUAAUCAUCAAUAAAUCGUGAAGGUUAAUACCGCGAGAAAAAAUAUUGGCCUCGCGAUUUUCGCUAUAUCUACCAAUCGGAAGGGCAGAGGUUUUAGUUCCGAACAGACGUCGAUUGAAGACAAAUUGCCAAAAUGUACAAAGCCAGGUCUCUAAUUGUUGUUUUGGUGCUAUUUGUUCUGUUCUUAUCAGUUAAUUCUCAAGGCAGCAACACUGGACCUGUUUUGUUCCCAACUGUACGGAACGACCCCAGCAAUCCCACACCAGAAAAUGCAAACUUCGACUUUUUCAAAUAAUGGCAAUCUCUAUUAAACGCAAAAAUAAACGUUAAUUUUUAA
This is a long non-coding RNA of Tribolium castaneum (red flour beetle), 423 nucleotides long. RefSeq lists it as uncharacterized. The transcript is spliced from 2 exons. NCBI's taxonomy places the organism in Eukaryota, Metazoa, Arthropoda, Insecta, Coleoptera, Tenebrionidae. The record is from RefSeq and is a predicted model, not a curated record.